This 76-nucleotide transfer RNA is filed under the name bacterium. RNAcentral describes it as "tRNA-Arg". It matches the Rfam family "tRNA". Rfam says of the family: Transfer RNA (tRNA) molecules are approximately 80 nucleotides in length. Their secondary structure includes four short double-helical elements and three loops (D, anti-codon, and T loops). The record is from RNAcentral.
GGUCACGUAGCUCAGUGGAUAGAGCAAGUGCCUUCUAAGCACUAGGUCGAGGGUUCGAAUCCUUCCGUGAUCGCCA